AGAGUUUGAUUAUGGCUCAGAACGAACGCUGGCGGCGUGGCUAAGGCAUGCAAGUCGAACGGACAUGGGCAUUGGGUAACCGAAGCCCAUGUUAGUGGCGAACGGGUGAGGAAUGCAUGGAUAACGUACCCAGGACUCGGGGAUAGCGGCGGGCUUCGGCCCUUUGCGAAAGUGCCGGUAAUACCCGAUGACCCCGUAGACCUCCUGGUCAGCGGGCAAAGUUCAGGCGGUCCUGGAGCGGUCCAUGCCCUAUCAGCUUGUUGGUGGGGUAAUGGCCUACCAAGGCGACGACGGGUAUCGGGUGUGAGAGCAUGAGCCCGACACAUCGGAACUGAGACACUGUCCGGACACUACGGGUGGCUGCAGCAACGAAUAUUGCGCAAUGGACGAAGCGUGACGGAGCAAUGCCGCGUGCAGGAUGAAGCCCCUCGGGGUGUAAAGCUGCUGUCAGGGUUUAGCAACACAAUGAGCAGACCCAAAGGAAGGGCCGGCUAACUUCGUGCCAGCAUGCCGCGGUUAAUACGAGGGGCCCGAGCGUUAUUCGGAAUCACUGGGCUUAAUGGCGUACGUAGGCGGACCUGUAGGCACUGUGUGAUGAUCCCUCGGCUCAACCGAGGAACUGCAUGGUGAACCACAGGUCUUGAGGCAAGUAGGGGCUGUCGGAACGUAGGUGGAGUGGUGAAAUGCGUAGAGAUCCGGGGAACACAGUGGCGAGGCGCACGUGGGCCUGACCUGACGCUGAGGUGCGAAAGAUGGGGAGCGAACGGGAUUGGGGCCCGGUAGUCAUGCGUAAACGUGCUGCU
This 803-nucleotide ribosomal RNA is filed under the name uncultured bacterium. RNAcentral describes it as "bacterial SSU rRNA". It matches the Rfam family "Bacterial small subunit ribosomal RNA", at positions 8 to 815 of the family's 1533-position model. The record is from RNAcentral.